AUUGAACGCUGGCGGCAGGCCUAACACAUGCAAGUCGAACGGUAACAGGAAGAAGCUUGCUUCUUUGCUGACGAGUGGCGGACGGGUGAGUAAUGUCUGGGAAACUGCCUGAUGGAGGGGGAUAACUACUGGAAACGGUAGCUAAUACCGCAUAAUGUCGCAAGACCAAAGAGGGGGACCUUCGGGCCUCUUGCCAUCGGAUGUGCCCAGAUGGGAUUAGCUAGUAGGUGGGGUAACGGCUCACCUAGGCGACGAUCCCUAGCUGGUCUGAGAGGAUGACCAGCCACACUGGAACUGAGACACGGUCCAGACUCCUACGGGAGGCAGCAGUGGGGAGUAUUGCACAAUGGGCGCAAGCCUGAUGCAGCUAUGCCGCGUGUAUGAAGAAGGCCUUCGGGUUGUAAAGUACUUUCAGCGGGGAGGAAGGGAGUAAAGUUAAUACCUUUGCUCAUUGACGUUACCCGCAGAAGAAGCACCGGCUAACUCCGUG
This 490-nucleotide ribosomal RNA is filed under the name uncultured bacterium. RNAcentral's name for it is "partial 16S ribosomal RNA". It matches the Rfam family "Bacterial small subunit ribosomal RNA", at positions 30 to 507 of the family's 1533-position model. The record is from RNAcentral.